RNAcentral lists this ribosomal RNA (831 nucleotides) under Orbilia macroserpens. Its description in RNAcentral is "LSU rRNA". It matches the Rfam family "Eukaryotic large subunit ribosomal RNA", at positions 93 to 941 of the family's 3401-position model. Lineage: Eukaryota; Fungi; Ascomycota; Orbiliomycetes; Orbiliales; Orbiliaceae. The record is from RNAcentral.
GUGAAGCGGCAACAGCUCAAAUUUGAAAUCUCAGGUAUUCUACUUGCGAGUUGUAAUUUGAAGAGGAUGUUUCGGUUGUGACCUUGGCCUAAGUUCCUUGGAACAGGACGUCGUAGAGGGUGAGAAUCCCGUACACGGCUGUAGGUUUACUUCCAUGUGUAACUCCUUCGAAGAGUCGAGUUGUUUGGGAAUGCAGCUCAAAAUGGGUGGUAAAUUUCAUCUAAAGCUAAAUACUGGCGAGAGACCGAUAGCGCACAAGUAGAGUGAUCGAAAGAUGAAAAGCACUUUGAAAAGAGAGUUAAACAGUACGUGAAAUUGUUGAAAGGGAAGCGUUUGCAAUCAGACUUGCUUGCGGUUGAUCAACGUUCCUUCUGGUUCGUGCACUCUGCCGUUCGCAGGCCAGCAUCGGUUAGGACAGUGGGACAAAGACUCAAGGAAUGUGGCUCUCUUCGGGGAGUGUUAUAGCCUUGUGUGUAAUGCCACUUGACCUGACUGAGGUCCGCGCUUUUUGCUAGGAUGCUGGCGUAAUGGUUGUAAACGGCCCGUCUUGAAACACGGACCAAGGAGUCUAACAUCUAUGCGAGUGUUUGGGUGUCAAACCCAUACGCGUAAUGAAAGUGAACGGAGGUGGGAGUCUUCGGAUGCACCAUCGACCGAUCCUGAUGUUCUCGGAUGGAUUUGAGUAGGAGCAUAGCUGUUGGGACCCGAAAGAUGGUGAACUAUGCCUGAAUAGGGUGAAGCCAGAGGAAACUCUGGUGGAGGCUCGCAGCGGUUCUGACGUGCAAAUCGAUUCGUCAAAUUUGGGUAUAGGGGCGAAAGACUAAUCGAACC